Molecule: small nuclear RNA, 304 nt
Filed under: Sorex araneus (European shrew)
Lineage: Eukaryota; Metazoa; Chordata; Mammalia; Eulipotyphla; Soricidae
Description: 7SK RNA (ENSSARG00000018370.1)
Rfam family: 7SK RNA
About the family: 7SK was discovered as an abundant small nuclear RNA in the mid-70s but a possible function has only recently been suggested. Two independent studies have found that 7SK RNA binds the CDK9/cyclin T complex (known as elongation factor P-TEFb).
Source: RNAcentral
GUGAGGGCCAUCUGGCUGUGAUAUCUGUCACCCCAUUGAUCACCAGGGUUGAUUCGGCUGAUCUGGCUGGCUAGGCGGGUGUCUCCUUCCUCCCUCACCACUCCGUGUGCAUCCCUCCCGAAGCUGUGCACUCGGUUGAAAAGAACCGCCUUCCCCAAAUAGAGACUGACCGGUAUUCCAUGGAGGGUAUACAAGUAGCUGCACUCCCCCUGCUAGAAUCUCCAAACAAGCUAGUAAGUCUAUCUCUAGUAAUUGUUACUUCUUGCUUACUAUGUUCUAUCCAUAUAGUAUCAGAAAUGUAAUG